UGAAAUACUUGCACACAAACCGCGCGAAAGCGUUCCUGGAAAUCUCAGCCCAAAAAAGGACGUUUAGUAAUUCUAAAAGGGACUACAGAAUGAAAAACAAUAGUUUUGGCAGUUAAAGUUUGAGAUUCGAUGGUGCCGUAGAUCCGUUUGGUCAUCAGGUGUAACGAGCCACACCCAUGUCUAGCUAGAGUAGUGUGCUAGGCUCAGGCUAGAGAAGAAACGGGGAACAAACUGAUGAAAGAAUGAUCAUACCGAGGGAAUUCACUCAGAACUAACAAGAAUGAUAACGUGCUCCGACUGGAGCGGUUUAGGAACUGCUGGAAGGCUCUAGGGGAAGAAAGAAGGAAUGACUUCUAAUUUUUAGGUCCGUAUGAUUUGAAAUACGUGCACACAAACCGCGCGAAAGCGUUCCUGGAAAUCUCAGCCCAAAAAAGGACGUUUAGUAUUCUAAAAGGGACUACAGAAUGAAAAACAAUAGUUUUGGCAGUUAAAGUUUGAGAUUCGACGGUGCCGUAGAUCCGUUUGGUCAUCAGGUGUUACGAGCCACACCCAUGUCUAGCUAGAAUAGUGUGCNNNNNNNNNNNNNNNNNNNNNNNNNCGUAUGAUUUGAAAUACGUGCACACAAACCGCGCGAAAGCGUUCCUGGAAAUCUCAGCCCAAAAAAGGACGUUUAGUAUUCUAAAAGGGACUACAGAAUGAAAAACAAUAGUUUUGGCAGUUAAAGUUUGAGAUUCGACGGUGCUGUAGAUCCGUUUGGUCAUCAGGUGUUACGAGCCACACCCAUGUCUAGCUAGAAUAGUGUGCUAGGCUCAGGCUAGAGAAGAAAAGGGGAACAAACUAAUGAAAGAAUGAUCAAUACGAGGGAAUUCACUCAGAACUAACAAUAAUGAUAACGUGCUCCGACUGGAGCGGUUUAGGAACUGCUGGAAGGCUCUAGGCGAAUAAAGAUGGAAUGACUUCUAAUUUUUACGUCCGUAUGAUUUGAAAUACUUGCACACAAACCACGCAAAAGCGUUCCUGGAAAUCUCGGCCUAAAAAGGACGUUUAGUAAUUCUAAAAGGGACUACAGGAUGAAAAAUAAUAGUUUGGGCAGUUAAAAUUUGAGAUUCGACGGUGCCGUAGAUCCGUUUGGUCAUCAGGUGUUACGAGCCACACCCAUGUCUAGCUAGAAUAGUGUGUUAGGCUCAGGCUAGAGAAGAAACGAGGAACAAACUGAUGAAAGAAUGAUCAUACCAAGGGAAUUCACUCAGAACUAACAAGAAUGAUAACGUGCUCCGACUGGAGCAGUUUAGAAACUGCUGGAAGGCUCUAGGGGAAUAAAGAUGGAAUGACUUCUGAUUUUUAGGUCCGUAUGAUUUGAAAUACGUGCACACAAACCCCGCGAAAGCGUUCCUGGAAAUCUCAGCCCAAAAAAGGACGUUUAGUAAUUCUAAAAGGGACUACAACAUGAAAAACAAUAGUUUUGGCAGUUAAAGUUUGAGAUUUCAUGGUGCCGUAGAUCUGUUUGGUCAUCAGGUGUUACGAGCCACACCCAUGUCUAGCUAGAAUAGUGUGUUAGGCUCAGGCUAGAAAAGAAACGGGAAACAAAGUGAUGAAAGAAUGACCAUACCGAGGGAAUUCACUCAGAACUAACAAGAAUGAUAACAUGCUCCGACUUGAGCGGUUUAGGAACUGCUGGAAGGCUCUAGGGGAAUAAAGAUGGAAUGACUUCUAAUGUUUAGGUCCGUAUGAUUUGAAAUACUUGCACAUAAACCGCACAAAAGCGUUCCUGGAAAUCUCAGCCCAAAAAAGGACGUUUAGUAAUUCUAAAAGGGACUACAGGAUGAAAAACAAUAGUUUUGGCAGUUAAAGUUUGAGAUUCGACGGUGCCGUAGAUCCGUUUGGUCAUCAGGUGUUACGAGCCACACCCAUGUCUAGCUAGAAUAGUGUGUUAGGCUCAGGCUAGAGAAGAAACUUGGAACAAACUGAUGAAAGAAUGAUCAAACCAACGGAAUUCACUCAGAACUAACAAUAAUGAUAACGUGCUCCGACUGGAGCAGUUUAGGAACUGCUGGAAGGCUCUAGGGGAAUAAAGAUGGAAUGACUUCUAAUUUUUAGGUCCGUAUGAUUUGAAAUACUUGCACGCAAACCGCGCGAAAGCGUUCCUGGAAAUAUCAGCCCAAAAAAGGACGUUUAGUAAUUCUAAAAGGGACUACAGGAUGAAAACAAUAGUUUUGGCAGUUAAAGUUUGAGAUUCAACAGUGCCGUAGAUCCGUUUGGUCAUCAGGUGUUAUGAGCCAUACCCAUGUCUAGCUAGAGUAGUGUGCUAGGCUCAGGCUAGAGAAGAAACAGGGAACAAACUGAUGAAAGAAUGAUCAUACCGAGGGAAUUCACUCAGAACUAACAAGAAUGAUAACGUGCUCCGACUGGAGCGGUUUAGGAACUGCUGGAAGGCUCUAGGGGAAUAAAGAUGGAGUGACUUCUAAAUUUUUAGGUCCGUAUGAUUUAAAAUACUUGCACACAAACCGCACGAAAGCGUUCCUUGAAAUCUCAGCCCAAAAAAGGACGUUUAGUAAGUCUAAAAGGGACUAUAGGAUGAAAAACAAUAGUUUUGGCAGUUAAAGUUUGAGAUUCGAUGGUGCCGUAGAUCUGUUUGGUCAUCAGGUGUUACGAGCCACACCCAUGUCUAGUUGGAAUAGUGUGCUAGGCUCAGACUAGAGAAGAAACAGGGAACAAACUGAUGAAAGAAUGAUCAAACCGAGGAAAUUCACUCAGAACUAACAAUAAUGAUAACAUGCUCCGACUGGAGCGGUUUAGGAACUGCUGGAAGGCUCUAGGGGAAUAAAGAUGGAAUGACUUCUAAAUUUUUAGGUCCGUAUGAUUUGAAAUAGUUGCACACAAACUGCGCGAAAGCGUUCCUGGAAAUCUCAGCCCAAAAAAGGACGUUUAGUAAUUCUAAAAGGGACUAUAGGAUGAAAAACAAUAGUUUUGGCAGUUAAAGUUUGAGAUUCGACGGUGCCGUAGAUCCGUUUGGUCAUCACGUGUUACAAGCCACACCCAUGUCUAGCUAGAGUAGUGUGCUAGGCUCAGACUAUAGAAGAAACGGGGACCAAACUGAUGAAAGAAUGAUCAAACCGAGGAAAUUCACUCAGAACUAACAAUAAUGAUAACAUGCUCCGACUGGAGCGGUUUAGGAACUACUGGAAGGCUCUAGGGGAAUAAAGAUGGAAUGACUUCUAAAUUUUUAGGUCCGUAUGAUUUUAAAUAGUUGCACACAAACUGCGCGAAAGCGUUCCUGGAAAUCUCAGCCCAAAAAAGGACGUUUAGUAAUUCUAAAAGGGACUACAGGAUGAAAAACAAUAGUUUGGGCAGUUAAAAUUUGAGAUUCGACGGUGCCGUAGAUCCGUUUGGUCAUCAGGUGUUACGAGCCACACCCAUGUCUAGCUAGAGUAGUGUGCUAGGCUCAGGCUAGAGAAGAAACAGGGAACAAACUGAUGAAAGAAUGAUCAUACCGAGGGAAUUCACUCAGAACUAACAAGAAUGAUAACGUGCUCUGACUGGAGCGGUUUAAGAACUGUUGGAAGGCUCUAGGGGAAUAAAGAUGGAAUCACUUCAAAUUUUUACGUCCGUGUGAUUUGAAAUACUUGCACACAAACCGCACGAAAGCGUUCCUGGAAAUCUCAGCCCAAAAAAGGACGUUUAGUAAGUCUAAAAGGGACUACACGAUGAAAAACAAUAGUUUUGGCAGUUAAAGUUUGAGAUUCGACAGUGCCGUAGAUCCGUUUGGUCAUCAGGUGUAACGAGCCACACCCAUGUCUAGAUAGAGUAGUGUGCUAGGCUCAAACUAGAGAAGAAACGGGGAACAAACUGAUGAAAGAAUGAUCAUACCGAGGGAAUUCACUCAGAAAUAACAAGAAUGAUAACGUGCUCUGACUGGAGCGGUUUAGGAACUGCUGGAAGGCUCUAGGGGAAUAAAGAAGGAAUGACUUCUAAUUUUUAGGUCCGUAUGAUUUGAAAUACGUGCACACAAACCCCGAGAAAGCGUUCCUGGAAAUCUCGACCCAAAAAAGGACGUUUAGUAAUUCUAAAAGGGACUACGGGAUGAAAAACAAUAGUUUUGGCAGUUAAAGUUUGAGAUUCGAUAAUGCCGUAGAUCCAUUUGGUCAUCAGGUGUAACGAGCCACACCCAUGUCUAGCUAGAGUAGUGUGCUAGGCUCAGACUAGAGAAGAAACAGGGAACAAACUGAUGAAAGAAUGAUCAUAUCGAGGGAAUUCACUCAGAACUAACAAGAAUGAUAACAUGCUCCGACUUGAGCGGUUUAGGAACUGCUGGAAGGCUCUAGGGGAAUAAAGAUGGAAUGACUUCUAAUUUUUAGGUCCGUAUGAUUUGAAAUACUUACACACAAACCACGCGAAAGCGUUCCUGGAAAUCUCAGCCCAAAAAAGGACGUUUAGUAAUUCUAAAAGGGACUACAUGAUGAAAAACAAUAGUUUUCGCAGUUAAAGUUUGAGAUUCGACGGUGCCGUAGAUCCGUUUGGUCAUCAAGUGUUACGAGCCACACCCAUGUCUAGCUAGAAUAGUGUGUUAGGCUCAGCCUAGAGAAGAAACGGGGAACAAACUGAUGAAAGAAUGAUCAUACCGAGGGAAUUCACUCAGAACUUACAAGAAUGAUAACGUGCUCCGACUUGAGCGGUUUAAGAACUGUUGGAAGGCUCUAGGGGAAUAAAGAUGGAAUCACUUCAAAUUUUUACGUCCGUGUGAUUUGAAAUACUUGCACACAAACCCCGAGAAAGCGUUCCUGGAAAUCUCGGCCGAAAAAAGGAUGUUUAAUAAUUCUAAAAGGGACUACAGGAUGAAAAACAAUAGCUUUGGCAGUUAAAGUUUGUGAUUCGAUGGUGCCGUAGAUCUGUUUGGUCAUCAGGUGUUAUGAGCCACACCCAUGUCUAGCUAGAAUAGUGUGUUAGGCUCAGGCUAGAGCAGAAACUAGGAACAAACUUAUGAAAGAAUGAUCAUACCGAGGGAAUUCACUCAGAACUAACAAGAAUGAUAACGUGCUCCGACUGGAGCGGUUUAGGAACUGCUGGAAGGCUCUAGGGGAAUAAAGAUGGAAUGACUUCUAAUUUUUAGGUCCGUAUGAUUUGAAAUACAUGCACACAAACCCCAAGAAAGCGUUCCUAGAAAUCUCAGCCCAAAAAGGACGUUUAGUAAUUCUAAAAGGGACUACAGGAUGAAAAACAAUAGGUUUGGCAGUUAAAGUUUGAGAUUCGAUAAUGCCGUAGAUCCGUUUGGUCAUCAGGUGUAACGAGCCACACCCAUGUCUAGCUACAUUAGUGUGCUAGGCUCAGACUAGAGAAGAAACGGGGAACAAACUGAUGAAAGAAUGAUCAUACCGAGGGAAUUCACUCAGAACUAACAAGAACGAUAACAUGCUCCGACUGCAGCGGUUUAGGAACUGCUGGAAGGCUCUAGGGGAAUAAAGAAGGAAUGACUUCUAAUUUUUAGGUCCGUAUGAUUUGAAAUACUUGCACACAAACCGCGCGAAAGCAUUCCUGGAAAUCUCAGCCCAAAAAAGGACGUUUAGUAAUUCUAAAAGGGACUACAGGAUGAAAAACAAUAAUUUUGGCAGUUAAAGUUUGAGAUUCGACGGUGCCGUAGAUCCGUUUGGUCAUCAGGUGUUACGGGCCAUACCCAUGUCUAGCUAGAAUAGUGUGUUAGGCUCAGGUUAGAGAAGAAACGGGGAACAAAGUGAUGAAAGAAUGAUCAUACCGAGGGAAUUCACUCAGAACUAACAAGAAUGAUAACGUGCUCCGACUGGAGCGGUUUAGGAAUUGCUGGAAGGCUCUAGGGGAAUAAAGAUGGAAUGACUUCUAUAUUUUACGUCCGUAUGAUUUGAAAUACUUGCACACAAACCACGCAAAAGCACUCCUGGAAAUAUCAGCCUAAAAAGGAUGUUUAGUAAUUCUAAAAGGGACUACAGGAUGAAAAAUAAUAGUUUUGGCAGUUAAAAUUUGAGAUUCAACGGUGCCGUAAAUCCGUUUGGUCAUCAGGUGUUACGAGCCACACCCAUGUCUAGCUAGAAUAGUGUGUUAGGCUCAGGUUAGAGAAGAAACGGGGAACAAACUGAUGAAAGAAUGAUCAUACAAGGGGAAUUCACUCAGAACUAUCAAGAAUGAUAACGUGCUCCGACUGGAGCAGUUUAGGAACUGCCGGAAGGCUCUAGGGGAAUAAAGAUGGAAUGACUUCUAAUUUUUAUGUCCGUAUGAUUUGAAAUACUUGCACACAAACCACGCAAAAGCGUUCCUGGAAAUCUCAGCCUAAAAAGGACGUUUAGUAAUUCUAAAAGGGACUACAGGAUGAAAAACAAUAGUUUGGGCAGUUAAAAUUCGAGAUUCGACGGUGCCGUAGAUCCGUUUGGUCAUCAGGUGUUACGAGCCACACCCAUGUCUAGCUAGAAUAGUGUGUUAGGCUCAGGCUAGAGAAGAAACGGGGAACAAACUGAUGAAAGAAUGAUCAUAUCGAGGGAAUUCACUCAGAACUAACAAGAAUGAUAACGUGCUCCGACUGGAGCGGUUUAGUAACUGCUGGAAGGCUCUAGGGGAAUAAAGAUGGAAUGACUUCUAAUUAUUAGGUCCGUAAGAUUUGAAUUACAUGCACACAAACCCCGAGAAAGCGUUCCUGGAAAUCUCGGUCGAAAAAAGGAUGUUUAGUAAUUCUAAAAGGGACUACAGGAUGAAAAACAAUAGUUUUGGCAGUUAAAGUUUGUGAUUCGAUGGUGCCGUAGAUCUGUUUGGUCAUCAGGUGUUACGAGCCACACCCAUGUCUAGCUAGAAUAGUGUGUUAGGCUCAGGCUAGAGCAGAAACGGGGAACAAACUUAUGAAAGAAUGAUCAUGCCGAGGGAAUUCACUCAGAACUAACAAGAAUGAUAACGUGCUCCGACUGGAGCGGUUUAGGAACUGCUGGAAGGCUCUAGGGGAAUAAAGAUGGAAUGACAUCAAAUUUUUAGGUCCGUAUGAUUUGAAAUACUUGCACACAAACCGCAAGAAAGCGUUCUUGGAAAUCUCCGCCCAAAAAAGGACGUUUAGUAAUUCUAAAAGGGUCUACAGGAUGAAAAACAAUAGUUCUGGCAGUUAAAGUUUGAGAUUCGAUAAUGUCGUAGAUCCGUUUGGUCAUCAGGCGUAACGAGCCACACCCAUUUCUAGCUAGAGUAGUGUGCUAGGCUCAGACUAGAGAAGAAACGGGGAACAACCUGAUGAAAGAAUGAUCAUACCGAGGGAAUUCACUCAGAACUAACAAGAAUGAUAACGUGCUCCGACUGGAGCGGUUUAGGAACUGCUGGAAGGCUCUACGGGAAUAAAGAAGGAAUGACUUCUAAUUUUUAGGUCCGUAUGAUUUGAAAUACGUGCACACAAACCCCGAGAAAGCGUUCCUGGAAAUCUCGGCCCAAAAAAGGACGUUUAGUAUUCUAAAAGCGACUACAGAAUGAAAAACAAUAGUUUUGGUAGUUAAAGUUUGAGAUUUAACGGUGCCGUAGAUCUGUUUGGUCAUCAGGUGUUACGAGCCACACCCAUGUCUAGCUAGAAUAGUGUGUUAGGCUCAGGCUAGAUAAGAAACAGGGAACAAAGUGAUGAAAGAAUGAUCAUACCAAGGGAAUUCACUCAGAACUAACAAGAACGAUAACAUGCUCCGACUGGAGUGGUUUAGGAACUGCUGGAAGGCUCUAGGGGAAUAAAGAUGGAAUGACUUCUAAUUUUUAGGUCUGUAUGAUUUGAAAUACUUGCACACAAACCGCACGAAAGCGUUCCUGGAAAUCUCAUCCCAAAAAAGGACGUUUAGUAAUUCUAAAAGGGACUACAGGAUGAAAAACAAUAGUUUUGGCAGUUAAAGUUUGAGAUUCGAUAAUGCUGUAGAUCCGUUUGGUCAUCAGGUGUAACGAGCCACACCCAUGUCUAGCUAGAGUAGUGUGCUAGGCUCAGACUAGAGAAGAAACGGGGAACAAACUGAUGAAAGAAUGAUCAUACCGAGGGAAUUCACUCAGAACUAACAAUAAUGAUAACGUGCUCCGACUGGAGCGGUUUAGGAACUGCUGGAAGGCUCUAGGGGAAUAAAGAUGGAAUGAGUUCUAAUUUUUAGGUCUGUAUGAUUUGAAAUACUUGCACACAAACCGCGUGAAAGCAUUCCUGGAAAUUUCAGCCCAAAAAAGGACGUUUAGUAAUUUUAAAAGGGACUACACGAUGAAAAACAAUAGUUUUGGCAGUUAAAGUUUGAGAUUCGACGGUGCCGUAGAUCCGUUUGGUCAUCAGGUGUUACGAGCCACACCCAUGUCUAGCUAGAAUAGUAUGUUAGGCUCGGGUAAGAGAAGAAACGGGGAACAAACUGAUGAAAGAAUGAUCAUACCAAGGGAAUUCACUCAGAACUAACAAGAAUGAUAACGUGCUCCGACUGGAGCGGUUUAGGAACUGCUGGAAGGCUCUAGGGGAAUAAAGAUGGAAUGACUUCUAAUUUUUACGUUCGUAUGAUUUGAAAUACUUGCACACAAACCACGCAAAAGCGUUCCUGGAAAUCUCAUCCUAAAAAAGGACGUUUAGUAAUUCUAAAAGGGACUACAGGAUGAAAAAUAAUAGUUUGGGCAGUUAAAAUUUGAGAUUCGACGGUGCCGUAGAUCCGUUUGGUCAUCAGGUGUUACGAGCCACACCCAUGUCUAGCUAGAAUAGUGUGUUAGGCUCAGGCUAGAGAAGAAACGGGGAACAAACUGAUGAAAGAAUGAUCAUAUCGAGGGAAUUCACUCAGAACUAACAAGAAUGAUAACGUGCUCCGACUGGAGCAGUUUAGAAACUGCUGGAAGGCUCUAGGGGAAUAAAGAUGGAAUGACUUCUAAUUUUUAGGUCUGUAUGAUUUGAAAUACGUGCACACGAACCCCGAGAAAGCGUUCCUGGAAAUCUCGGCCCAAAAAAGGACGUUUAGUAAUUCUAAAAGGGACUACAGGAUGAAAAACAAUAGUUUUGGCAGUUAAAGUUUGAGAUUCGACGGUGCCGUAGAUCCGUUUGUUCAUCAGGUGUUACGAGCCACACCCAUGUCUAGCUAGAAUAGUGUGUUAGGCUCAGGCUAGAGAAGAAACGGGGAACAAACUGAUGAAAGAAUGAUCAUACCGAGGGAAUUCACUCAGAACUAACAAGAAUGAUAACGUGCUCCGACUGGAGCGGUUUAGGAACUGCUAGAAGGCUCUAGGGGAAUAAAGAAGGAAUGACUUCUAAUUUUUAGGUCCGUAUGAUUUGAAAUACGUGCACACAAACCCCGAGAAAGCGUUCCUGGAAAUCUUGGCCCAAAAAAGGACGUUUAGUAUUCUAAAAGCGACUACAGAAUGAAAAACAAUAGUUUUGCUAGUUAAAGUUUGAGAUUUGAUGGUGCCGUAGAUCUGUUUGGUCAUCAGGUUUUACGAGCCACACCCAUGUCUAGCUAGAAUAGUGUGUUAGGCUCAGGCUAGAAAAGAAACAGGGAAUAAAGUGAUGAAAGAAU
This 9494-nucleotide long non-coding RNA is filed under the name Triticum aestivum (bread wheat). RNAcentral describes it as "long non-coding RNA (TAES_LNC019907)". The record is from RNAcentral. Lineage: Eukaryota; Viridiplantae; Streptophyta; Magnoliopsida; Poales; Poaceae.